This is a long non-coding RNA of Polyodon spathula (Mississippi paddlefish), 564 nucleotides long. RefSeq lists it as uncharacterized. Lineage: Eukaryota; Metazoa; Chordata; Actinopteri; Acipenseriformes; Polyodontidae. The transcript has 3 exons. The record is from RefSeq and is a predicted model, not a curated record.
UCUUUUCAGAUCCACCAAUCGCAGCAGGCACUGGACGGGGUCGGGGUUUCCCUUGCGAUUCUGUACUCCGUCUUCCAUAGCGCUAUCGCUGUUUCACACAAGUUUUACUAGAGAAGACAAACGCCACCUAGCGGCCAAGGCCCAUAGCGGGUGUAUUGGAGGAAUGAUACAGAACUGUAGUUUACUUCUAAGUGUGAUUGCAGGGAGUGUCUGUCUUUCACUGGGGAAACUGCUUGUUACAGUGGCAGUGGCCUUGAAUCUGACUCAGCUACAAACACGUGCCAGACAGGAAGUCUGUUGUUAAUUAAAGAAGCCUGGGCAGUACUGAAGAUUUUCAUGAACACUAAACUGUGUGCAAUACAAAACUGCACUCUUUAAAGCACUGUGAACCCAGAGGGGCCUGUGUAUUUCAACACACCACAGAUGGCAGCAGCAGUACCACAAAAAAGCAAGUCAAUAUUACCUGCAUACACCCACAGAGUGUGCAACUGCAUAUGACCAGAGGCACGUUUCAUCACAAUCCACAAUCUGAUGAGCUGCUUUCAGUGUGGGUGUGUCUGGCAG